This 492-nucleotide long non-coding RNA is filed under the name Sus scrofa (pig). RNAcentral describes it as "lncRNA (ENSSSCG00030035312.1)". Lineage: Eukaryota; Metazoa; Chordata; Mammalia; Artiodactyla; Suidae. The record is from RNAcentral.
UAUUUCUGGACCUCCUUCACUGUUCACUUAUUUGUCUCUCUAUACCUUUACCAGUACCCCCCGGGACAAUUUAGCAAAUGGAAAGCCAGCGGACAAGUGGCAGAAGACCAGAAGUUUAUUCUCUGGAGAAAUGGGCUAAGAGCAGUGCUGGACUCGGGGACACCAGGCCCAGAGAGAUGUUGAGAGAGGGCAAGGCACUACUAGGAAGCCACUGUUUUUCACUGGACAUCGGAUUCUUCUUUCUGCAACAGCCUGAGCAGGUCAGCCUCCCUCUCCCUCUUUUCCUCCUCUCUCUCUCUGUUUUUUUGGUUUGUUUGUUUUGUUUUUUGUUUUGUUUUGUUUUGUUUUACUUCUCUCUCUGUUUUAAAUUGAGGAAUAAUUACAGUGAAAUGCACAGAUAUUAAGCAGAUAGUUGGUGAGCUUUGACAAAGGCGUAUACCUGUGUAACAACGCCCCAAUCAGUGUAGAAAGCACUGCCGUCACAUCCCCCUG